GCGCCUUGAAAAGCCAAUCUACAAUUCUGUUCGACGAGCAGCUGAAGUUCAUCGUCAGGUAAGAAAAUACAUAAGAAGCAUAGUGAAGCCAGGGAUGUUGAUGACUGACCUGUGUGAGACAUUAGAAAACACAGUUAGAAAGCUAAUAUCGGAGAAUGGCUUGCAAGCAGGCAUAGCAUUUCCUACAGGAUGUUCUUUGAACUGGGUUGCU
This 211-nucleotide unclassified non-coding RNA is filed under the name Hevea brasiliensis (rubber tree). Lineage: Eukaryota; Viridiplantae; Streptophyta; Magnoliopsida; Malpighiales; Euphorbiaceae. The record is from RNAcentral.